Long non-coding RNA from Chroicocephalus ridibundus (black-headed gull), 431 nucleotides. RefSeq lists it as uncharacterized. The record is from RefSeq and is a predicted model, not a curated record. NCBI's taxonomy places the organism in Eukaryota, Metazoa, Chordata, Aves, Charadriiformes, Laridae. The transcript is spliced from 3 exons.
CUCAGGGCCUAAAGAGUUAACAAGGCACUUUUUCUCGUGUUAGGUUUCCUGUUUAGAGAUGGUCUGGUCUCUUCCUGAGCACUGUGGAACAGAUCACUGCUCCGGCUCAUCUCCUCAAGGGCUCGGGGUUUGCUCCGAGAUUGGUUUACACGGGAACAGAUCCUCUGUGCCUUCGGCCACGAUGUUGCAUUUUGAAAUGCAAGCCUUGCUGCCAGAGCUGUGGUUUGUGCCGCAAACCUCUGCGUCUCGCAAGCCUCUUCCCUUCAGCAGAGGGCAGUGAUCUUGCGUGCACGUCGCCGCCUCCUUCCAGCGUGUCUGGCCUCUUCAUCUCCGUGGGGAUCGUCUGGUGGUCACAGACUCGGCCUCACGGAGAAGGGGCUAAUGCCUUCUCCAGCAGUGGCAGAGAGGAGGUCUGAGUGGGCACCUUCAAG